GUGAAGAACGUAGCGAAACGCGAUAUGUAAUGUGAAUUGCAGAAUUCAGUGAAUCAUCGAAUCUUUGAACGCACAUGGCGCCUUCCAGUAUCCUGGGAGGCAUGCCUGUCCGAGCGUCGUUUCAACCCUCGAGCCCCCGUGGCCCGGCGUUGGGGAUCUGCCACGGCAGGCCCCUAAAACCAGUGGCGGACCCGAAGGCCCUCUCCUUUGCGCAGUAGCAUCAGCCUCGCAUUGGGAUCCCUCGGCGUCCUGCCUCUAAACCCCCCACAAGUCCGCUCCGGCGGCACCAAGGUUGACCUCGGAUCAGGUAGGAAUACCCGCUGAACUUAAGCAUAUCAAUAAGCGGAGGA
This 350-nucleotide unclassified non-coding RNA is filed under the name soil metagenome. RNAcentral's name for it is "partial contains 5.8S ribosomal RNA, internal transcribed spacer 2, and large subunit ribosomal RNA". The stretch from base 2 to 119 matches the Rfam family "5.8S ribosomal RNA", at positions 37 to 154 of the family's 154-position model. The record is from RNAcentral.